AUACCCCUACAAUGUCUAGCACUGGGCUCUGACCACCCUGAGAACAUAUUACCCCCCGGGGGAGUUUGAGGGGCCC
Molecule: small nucleolar RNA, 76 nt
Filed under: Tupaia belangeri (northern tree shrew)
Lineage: Eukaryota; Metazoa; Chordata; Mammalia; Scandentia; Tupaiidae
Source: RNAcentral